AAUGAACGCUGGCGGCAGGCCUAACACAUGCAAGUCGAACGCCCCGCAAGGGGAGUGGCGCACGGGUGAGUAACGCGUGGGAAUAUGCCCUUCGGUUCGGAAUAACACAGGGAAACUUGUGCUAAUACCGGAUACGAUCUACGGAUGAAAGAUUCAUCGCCGAAGGAGUAGCCCGCGUAGGAUUAGCUAGUUGGUGAGGUAAUGGCUCACCAAGGCGACGAUCCUUAGCUGGUCUGAGAGGAUGAUCAGCCACACUGGGACUGAGACACGGCCCAGACUCCUACGGGAGGCAGCAGUGGGGAAUAUUGGACAAUGGGCGAAAGCCUGAUCCAGCCAUGCCGCGUGAGUGAUGAAGGCCUUAGGGUUGUAAAGCUCUUUCGCCAGGGAAGAUAAUGACGGUACCUGGAAAAGAAGCCUCGGCUAACUCCGUGCCAGCAGCCGCAGUAA
This 447-nucleotide ribosomal RNA is filed under the name uncultured bacterium. RNAcentral describes it as "partial 16S ribosomal RNA". It matches the Rfam family "Bacterial small subunit ribosomal RNA", at positions 29 to 523 of the family's 1533-position model. The record is from RNAcentral.